Molecule: unclassified non-coding RNA, 761 nt
Filed under: Hevea brasiliensis (rubber tree)
Lineage: Eukaryota; Viridiplantae; Streptophyta; Magnoliopsida; Malpighiales; Euphorbiaceae
Source: RNAcentral
AAAAGUCACAAACUGCUAGUUGAAAUGCUUAGCAUCAUCCAAUGACUAGUUUACCUGGUAGCAGAAGCAUUGGUCAUUUAACUGGGUAGACGCAAAAACCAAAUUAUUUCAAUACUUAAACUAGCUUCGUGAUUAUUACUGAAUUUUCUCCUAUGUACAACUUUGAGAUUACAAUAGACUCAUCUGUCAUUCUGUUGCAUGAUAUAAGCAACUCUUGGUCACCAAAACCAAUUCCCCCUCCACUCCCUCAACUGAAAAACAACAAAAGGGAGAUAACUAAAGACCCUAAAUAAUAAUAAUAAUAAACACUAACAUCAACUCUUCAACAAGUUACAAGGAAGUCAAAGACAGUUCUCACUUCUCAGGUUUCAAAGAUUGAAAAAGAUCUUUAAAGUACUUGGAGUCAGCGGCUGCCACUGCAGCCAUAGCAGCACUAGUGGUAGCAGAAGUCGGUGACAUAGGAGAAGCAAAAGAAUUGCUGGGGCUAACAUCUCUCUGGUCUUCGUUAAUUGUAUCCAACACCUUUGAUCUUCUGUGACUUAUGACACUAAUGUAUUGUGGUGGUGCAACUUCUAUAAUGAACUUUGCUAUGCGUGAAUUAGCCAUUUCUUUCAAGUAUUUCAAAGGGUUAAGAGCUUAGAAUUUAGAAAGAGGAAAAACUGAAAGAUAAGAACCCAGUGGGAAAAGGGUUUGCGGAGGAAAGGCUUGGUUUGGGAUGGGCAUGAACUUAAGAUGUGGGUAAGAUUUAUGGGGACAUGUUU